AGUAACGCGUGGGAACGUACCCUUCACUACGGAAUAGUCCCGGGAAACUGGGUUUAAUACCGUAUACGCCCUUCGGGGGAAAGAAUUUCGGUGAGGGAUCGGCCCGCGUUAGAUUAGUUAGUUGGUGGGGUAAUGGCCUACCAAGACUACGAUCUAUAGCUGGUUUGAGAGGAUGAUCAGCAACACUGGGACUGAGACACGGCCCAGACUCCUACGGGAGGCAGCAGUGGGGAAUCUUAGACAAUGGGGGCAACCCUGAUCUAGCGAUGCCGCGUGAGUGAUGAAGGCCUUAGGGUCGUAAAGCUCUUUCGCCUGUGAUGAUAAUGACAGUAGCAGGUAAAGAAACCCCGGCUAACUCCGUGCCAGCAGCCGCGGUAAUACGGAGGGGGUUAGCGUUGUUCGGAAUUACUGGGCGUAAAGCGCACGUAGGCGGAUUAGUCAGUCAGAGGUGAAAUCCCAGGGCUCAACCCUGGAACUGCCUUUGAUACUGCUAGUCUUGAGUUCGAGAGAGGUAAGUGGAAUUCCGAGUGUAGAGGUGAAAUUCGUAGAUAUUCGGAGGAACACCAGUGGCGAAGGCGGCUUACUGGCUCGAUACUGACGCUGAGGUGCGAAAGUGU
RNAcentral lists this ribosomal RNA (617 nucleotides) under Celeribacter sp. Its description in RNAcentral is "bacterial SSU rRNA". It matches the Rfam family "Bacterial small subunit ribosomal RNA", at positions 109 to 762 of the family's 1533-position model. Lineage: Bacteria; Pseudomonadati; Pseudomonadota; Alphaproteobacteria; Rhodobacterales; Roseobacteraceae. The record is from RNAcentral.